Molecule: ribosomal RNA, 454 nt
Filed under: uncultured Bulleidia sp.
Lineage: Bacteria; Bacillati; Bacillota; Erysipelotrichia; Erysipelotrichales; Erysipelotrichaceae
Description: partial 16S ribosomal RNA
Rfam family: Bacterial small subunit ribosomal RNA
Source: RNAcentral
ACGGGAGGCAGCAGUGAGGAAUAUUGGUCAAUGGACGGAAGUCUGAACCAGCCAUGCCGCGUGAAGGAUUAAGGCCCUAUGGGUCGUAAACUUCUUUUGACGGGGAGCAAUAAGGCGUACGUGUACGCCGAUGAGAGUACUCGUCGAAUAAGCAUCGGCUAACUCCGUGCCAGCAGCCGCGGUAAUACGGAGGAUGCAAGCGUUAUCCGGAUUCAUUGGGUUUAAAGGGUGCGUAGGCUGUGCUGCAAGUCAGGGGUGAAAGCCCGGCGCCUAACGCCGGAACUGCCUUUGAUACUGCAGUGCUGGAAUACUGUUGCCGUGGGAGGAAUGAGUAGUGUAGCGGUGAAAUGCAUAGAUAUUACUCAGAACACCGAUUGCGAAGGCAUCUCACGAAACAGUCAUUGACGCUGAGGCACGAAAGCGUGGGGAUCAAACAGGAUUAGAUACCCUGGUA